UACAGAGGGUGCGAGCGUUAAUCGGAAUUACUGGGCGUAAAGCGUGCGUAGACGGCUAUCUAAGUCGGGUGUGAAAGCCCCGGGCUCAACCUGGGAAUUGCAUUCGAGACUGAAUAGCUAGGGUACGGUAGAGGGAAGUGGAAUUUCCGGUGUAGCGGUGAAAUGCGUAGAUAUCGGAAGGAACAUCAGUGGCGAAAGCGACUUCCUGGACCAGUACUGACGCUCAUGCACGAAAGCGUGGGGAGCAAACAGG
This 253-nucleotide ribosomal RNA is filed under the name uncultured bacterium. RNAcentral's name for it is "partial 16S ribosomal RNA". It matches the Rfam family "Bacterial small subunit ribosomal RNA", at positions 524 to 776 of the family's 1533-position model. The record is from RNAcentral.